RNAcentral lists this ribosomal RNA (457 nucleotides) under uncultured bacterium. RNAcentral describes it as "SSU rRNA". It matches the Rfam family "Bacterial small subunit ribosomal RNA", at positions 26 to 518 of the family's 1533-position model. The record is from RNAcentral.
AGAACGAACGCUGGCGGCAGGCCUAACACAUGCAAGUCGAACGAGCUGAGACCUUCGGGUCUCUAUGCUAGUGGCGCACGGGUGAGUAACGCGUGGGAAUAUGCCCUUUAGUACGGAAUAACCCAGGGAAACUUGGGCUAAUACCGUAUACGCCCUUCGGGGGAAAGAUUUAUCGCUAAAGGAUUAGCCCGCGUCUGAUUAGGUAGUUGGUGAGGUAACGGCUCACCAAGCCGACGAUCAGUAGCUGGUCUGAGAGGAUGAUCAGCCACACUGGGACUGAGACACGGCCCAGACUCCUACGGGAGGCAGCAGUGGGGAAUAUUGGACAAUGGGCGAAAGCCUGAUCCAGCCAUGCCGCGUGAGUGAAGAAGGCCUUCGGGUUGUAAAGCUCUUUCGACGGGACGAUGAUGACGGUACCCGUAUAAGAAGCCCCGGCAAACUUCGUGCCAGCAGCCGC